GUGUUGCUGAGGGACGAACACACACCAGAAGUGAGAGAGUAAAGGAAAUGCAGAAGAGUAUGGAGUGCACUUGAGAGGUUACAAGAGGAACUAUCCCAACAACGUCUUGAAGUUUGAACCAGGGAGGCCAAGCUGAGGAGGAGGAUGGCAGUUUUUCCCAGAAGCAUCCAGUACCACAUCUGACCCUGCAAACCUACAUGGACGCAGAUGGAUGAGAAAUGGGCCUUUAGUUACAUAAAAUCUCUCAGAAGCAAAGCUGCAGGAACAUACACAGAAAUGAAAUGCAGCAGAGUCAGAGGGAGUAGUGCUGAAGAAGAAAGACACGGCAUGUAGACUUAAUAAAA
Molecule: long non-coding RNA, 344 nt
Organism: Stegastes partitus (bicolor damselfish)
Lineage: Eukaryota; Metazoa; Chordata; Actinopteri; Pomacentridae
Exons: 3
Source: RefSeq, a predicted model, not a curated record